AGAGUUUGAUCCUGGCUCAGGAUGAACGCUGGCGGCGUGCCUAAUACAUGCAAGUCGAGCGAACGGACGAGAAGCUUGCUUCUCUGAUGUUAGCGGCGGACGGGUGAGUAACACGUGGAUAACCUACCUAUAAGACUGGGAUAACUUCGGGAAACCGGAGCUAAUACCGGAUAAUAUUUUGAACCGCAUGGUUCAAAAGUGAAAGACGGUCUUGCUGUCACUUAUAGAUGGAUCCGCGCUGCAUUAGCUAGUUGGUAAGGUAACGGCUUACCAAGGCAACGAUGCAUAGCCGACCUGAGAGGGUGAUCGGCCACACUGGAACUGAGACACGGUCCAGACUCCUACGGGAGGCAGCAGUAGGGAAUCUUCCGCAAUGGGCGAAAGCCUGACGGAGCAACGCCGCGUGAGUGAUGAAGGUCUUCGGAUCGUAAAACUCUGUUAUUAGGGAAGAACAUAUGUGUAAGUAACUGUGCACAUCUUGACGGUACCUAAUCAGAAAGCCACGGCUAACUACGUGCCAGCAGCCGCGGUAAUACGUAGGUGGCAAGCGUUAUCCGGAAUUAUUGGGCGUAAAGCGCGCGUAGGCGGUUUUUUAAGUCUGAUGUGAAAGCCCACGGCUCAACCGUGGAGGGUCAUUGGAAACUGGAAAACUUGAGUGCAGAAGAGGAAAGUGGAAUUCCAUGUGUAGCGGUGAAAUGCGCAGAGAUAUGGAGGAACACCAGUGGCGAAGGCGACUUUCUGGUCUGUAACUGACGCUGAUGUGCGAAAGCGUGGGGAUCAAACAGGAUUAGAUACCCUGGUAGUCCACGCCGUAAACGAUGAGUGCUAAGUGUUAGGGGGUUUCCGCCCCUUAGUGCUGCAGCNNNNNNAGAGCAUCUGACUUUUAAUCAGAGGGUCAGAGGUUCGAAUCCUCUAUGGCUCACCAUUUGCGGGUGUGGCGGAAUUGGCAGACGCACUAGACUUAGGAUCUAGCGCCUUACGGCGUGGGGGUUCGACUCCCUUCACCCGCAUAUGCAGAAGUAGUUCAGCGGUAGAAUACAACCUUGCCAAGGUUGGGGUCGCGGGUUCGAAUCCCGUCUUCUGCUCCAUUUUUAUAGUGCCGGGGUGGCGGAACUGGCAGACGCACAGGACUUAAAAUCCUGCGGUGAGUGAUCACCGUACCGGUUCGAUUCCGGUCCUCGGCACCAUUUUCAAUAAAAACAUAUGCGCCCGUAGCUCAAUUGGAUAGAGCGUUUGACUACGGAUCAAGAGGUUAUGGGUUCGACUCCUAUCGGGCGCGUUAAUUAUACGGGAAGUAGCUCAGCUU
This 1306-nucleotide ribosomal RNA is filed under the name Staphylococcus aureus. RNAcentral's name for it is "bacterial SSU rRNA". The stretch from base 2 to 881 matches the Rfam family "Bacterial small subunit ribosomal RNA", at positions 9 to 873 of the family's 1533-position model. Lineage: Bacteria; Bacillati; Bacillota; Bacilli; Caryophanales; Staphylococcaceae. The record is from RNAcentral.